RNAcentral lists this ribosomal RNA (484 nucleotides) under uncultured bacterium. Its description in RNAcentral is "partial 16S ribosomal RNA". It matches the Rfam family "Bacterial small subunit ribosomal RNA", at positions 30 to 507 of the family's 1533-position model. The record is from RNAcentral.
AUUGAACGCUGGCGGCAUGCCUAACACAUGCAAGUCGUACGGCAGCGCGGGAGUAAUCCUGGCGGCGAGUGGCGAACGGGUGAGUAAUACAUAGGAAUCUGCCCAAUCGUGGGGGAUAACGCAGCGAAAGCUGUGCUAAUACCGCAUACGAUCUACGGGUGAAAGCGGGGGAUCCUCGGACCUCACGCUAUCGGAUGGGCCUAGGUCGGAUUAGCUAGUUGGUGGGGUAAAGGCCUACCAAGCCGACGAUCUGUAGCUGGUCUGAGAGGACGAUCAGCCACACUGGGACUGAGACACGGCCCAGACUCCUACGGGAGGCAGCAGUGGGGAAUUUUGGACAAUGGGCGAAAGCCUGAUCCAGCCAUGCCGCGUGCAGGAUGAAGGCCUUCGGGUUGUAAACUGCUUUUGUACGGGACGAAACGGUGUUUUCUAAUAAAGAAGGCUAAUGACGGUACCGUAAGAAUAAGCACCGGCUAACUACGUG